CGGACGGGUGAGUAACGCGUGGGUAACCUGCCUUGUACUGGGGGACAACGGUUAGAAAUGACUGCUAAUACCGCAUAAGCGCACAGUAUCGCAUGAUACAGUGUGAAAAACUCCGGUGGUACAAGAUGGACCCGCGUCUGAUUAGCUAGUUGGUAAGGUAAGGGCUUACCAAGGCGACGAUCAGUAGCCGACCUGAGAGGGUGACCGGCCACAUUGGGACUGAGACACGGCCCAA
This 235-nucleotide ribosomal RNA is filed under the name uncultured bacterium. RNAcentral's name for it is "partial 16S ribosomal RNA". It matches the Rfam family "Bacterial small subunit ribosomal RNA", at positions 99 to 334 of the family's 1533-position model. The record is from RNAcentral.